GGCCUACAAUAUGAGGCGGGCUGGACCUCUCGGGGUUACAGCCUUGCUGAAUUAUUCACCCUUGUCUUUUGCGUACUUCUUGUUUCCUUGGUGGGUUCGCCCACCACUAGGACAAACAUAAACCUUUUGUAAUUGCAAUCAGCGUCAGUAACAAAUUAAUAAUUACAACUUUCAACAACGGAUCUCUUGGUUCUGGCAUCGAUGAAGAACGCAGCGAAAUGCGAUAAGUAGUGUGAAUUGCAGAAUUCAGUGAAUCAUCGAAUCUUUGAACGCACAUUGCGCCCUUUGGUAUUCCAAAGGGCAUGCCUGUUCGAGCGUCAUUUGUACCCUCAAGCUUUGCUUGGUGUUGGGCGUCUUGUCUCUAGCUUUGCUGGAGACUCGCCUUAAAGUAAUUGGCAGCCGGCCUACUGGUUUCGGAGCGCAGCACAAGUCGCACUCUCUAUCAGCAAAGGUCUAGCAUCCAUUAAGCCUUUUUUUCAACUUUUGACCUCGGAUCAGGUAGGGAUACCCGCUGAACUUAAGCAUAUCAAAGCCGGGGAGGAAA
Molecule: ribosomal RNA, 544 nt
Filed under: Alternaria tenuissima
Lineage: Eukaryota; Fungi; Ascomycota; Dothideomycetes; Pleosporales; Pleosporaceae
Description: eukaryotic LSU rRNA
Rfam family: 5.8S ribosomal RNA (bases 167-320)
Source: RNAcentral